This 253-nucleotide unclassified non-coding RNA is filed under the name uncultured fungus. RNAcentral's name for it is "sequence contains ITS1, 5.8S rRNA gene". The stretch from base 205 to 253 matches the Rfam family "5.8S ribosomal RNA", at positions 1 to 49 of the family's 154-position model. The record is from RNAcentral. Lineage: Eukaryota; Fungi.
UCUCCGUUGGUGAACCAGCGGAGGGAUCAUUACAGGACUCGCAAGACUCCCGUAAACCACUGUGAACCUACCUAUUGUUGCCUCGGCGGGUCAGGCUGAUGCUUGGGAUGGCUACUUUGUAGCUACCCUGCAGAGGCCGCCGCCGGUGGGAUUUUAAACUAUUGUCAUGUAUUGUCAUCUGAGAGCCUUAUGAAAAUAAGUCAAAACCUUUAACAACGGAUCUCUUGGUUCUGGCAUCGAUGAAGAACGCAGC